CUAGUUCAUCUUCAACUCAUAAAUUGUCUUGGAUGGAUAAAUAUUUUUUACCACUACCGUCAAAUAAUGAAUCUGUACUAAAUAAGCUAAGCUUAAAAAAAUUAAAAUCUAUUGCAAAAAGGCAAGGUUUAAAGAACUACCUUAUUCAAAAUAUAACUGAAAGACUAAAUCAGUUCUUAUACGGCUAAUUCUAAAAGAAGAGUCGGAUGCUGGAGAUUGGCAUAGAAAAUUAAGCAGGGUUAGUAUUAAAAAAUUAAAAUCAAUUGCUACCAAACUAAACUUAAAGAUAAAGAGAAAUAGUAAACAAAUAGAUCUAUUGAAACAAAUUUCAGAUAAUGUAAACAAUGAUAAUAUAAACAGAAUUCUUAAUGAAAUUGAAUUGCCAAGUUUAGAAGAAAUAUUGAAGGAAAUAUUAGAGAAAUCGACUCAAAAUAAAACGUUGAAAGAACUAAGAAAACUUGCCAAAGAAAAGAAUAUCAAAGGUUACUCAAAAAUGAAGAAGGCAGAAUUAUUACAAAAAAUUGGUGAGGAACCUUUUGCAAUCGAAGAUGAUUAUUUUACAGAGUUUUCAAAAAAACCUAAAUUUAAAAUAAUAGAAACAAAAGCUGAAUACAGCAAAAAAUGGAAGAAACAUAAAGUUUACUAUAAAGUUAUAUUAUUGAAAGACAGGCGAGAAUCAUCCGAGUCUGAUCUUUCAGACAUAAUUAUGAAAAAAAUUACUGCCAUUAGAGAGGGUUUAAAUGAUAUGAUUAAAACACUAAAAGAGAAAACAAAUUUCAAAGAAGGAGACUUAUUAAAUAUAGUAGUUAACCACACCCAUCUUUGGACACCUAUUGCCACCGGAUUAUCAAGAACGUCUGAUGUUGAUAAUUUAUUAAACAAAAUUCAACGUAUCUUAACUUCAAAUCAAGAUUUAGAUAUAUACGGUUGUACGUUUCAUGUAGAAGUAGUUAAUAUGCCUAAAGGUGCCACUAAUGCGAAAAGAUUGUUAAAUAUAGCAGAAGACUCAAGAACAAAGAAAAGUAUAACACAAAUAAAAAAUAAAGAUAGAUUAUGUUGUCCAAGAGCCGUUAUUGUUGGAUUAACUUAUCAUACAAACAUUAUACUCGGUAAGGAAUAUAAUGAUAAUGAAUUAAAAUAUAUAAGAAUGGGAAGAAAUUUACAAACAACUUUAGCUCAAGAGCUAUGUAAUCAGCUUGAAGAAUAUAAUGAAGAGUAUUUUACCUUACAUGAUAUUGCAAGUAUAGAAAAAGUAUUAAAUAUUCAAAUAAAAGUCGUAGCAGCGGAAUGCUUUAAUUCCAUAAUAUAUUCGGGGCCCGAAAAAGAUAUAAAAAUAUAUUUAUAUAAAAAUGGAAAUCAUUUUGAUACAAUUGGUAGUAUGACAGCUUUCUAUGGUCAAUCUUAUUAUUGUAAAAAAUGUGAUAAACCAUAUCAAAACAAAGAUAAACAUAAAUGCAAAACAAAGGAUAAAAUAUGCAUAAUGUGUUUCAAAUCUAAUCACAAAGAAGACUCUGCUAAAAGAAUAUAUUGCGAAAAAUGCAAUAGAUACUGUUUUAAUCAAGAAUGUUUACAAAAUCAUUCUGAAGUUUGUGAAAGAUUUCAUAAAUGCUUAAAGUGUAAUAAAAUACUCAAAAGAGGUGAUAAAAUGGUUGACGAAGGUAAAAAAAUGAUUGAAGAAGGAAAUAGAUUAAUUUGUACAAAACCGAAAAUGGUCCAAAAAUGUAAUAAAAUUAUUGAAAGAGGUAAUAAAAUGAUAGAAGAGGGUAGUAAAGAACACAAAUGUGGCUGGGAAAAAUGUAGAAAUUGUUAUAAAGAGGUUGAAAUACGUAAACAUAAAUGUUACAUGCAAUGGAAGCGGCAAAAAGGUGGAAUCUGUCAAACUAAAAUAAAAGACGGUAGUAAAGAAUACAAAGUAAAAGGUUGUAAAAAUUGUGAUAGAAAAGGUUGUACAGUAACUUUUCCUGAUAAAACAAACAAAAGAGUAAAAUCUCACAUUUAUCAAUGUAAAGAAUGUAAAAAUUGUGUUAAAAUACCAAGAAAGACUGACAGGGUCAGCCCAGAGUUUACCAAAGGGUGCGGAGCACAAGUCAAAGACGAUUCACGAGGGGAUUUAAAAAUCCCGGAGUCGAAGACAAAGAACGAAAACGGUUAUCAAUGUCUUAAUUGCGGAUGUUCAUUUAGUACAACUAAAUGCUCUUACACACAAAAAUAUUUAUUAUUUGAUUAUGAGGCGAUGCAAGAAACGGGAAAACACGUACCUAAUUUAGUUAUAGCUCACGAUUUUUACGGUAAUGUUGAUUCUUUUAAGACUAACAAAGAUUUCUGUAAAUGGUUAGUUUCUAGAGAUCAUAAAGGAUACACAGCUAUUGCACAUUAUGGCAAAGGUUAUGAUUCUUACUUUAUUCUAAAAUAUUGCGUUGAAAACGGUAUUAAACCUUUCUGCAUAUAUAAAGGAUCUAAAAUAAUGUUAAUGGAAAUAAAAUCAAUUAAUUUAAGAAUUAUUGAUAGUAGUAAUUUUGUUCAAGGACCUUUAAAAAACUUCCCAAAAACAUUCGGUCUAAACGAACUUAAAAAAAAUAUUUAGUGUUCGCCCUAUGGUUUGCACCCUAUUAGUUGCGCCGCAUGUAGGCAACCAACGACACACACAGUUGAACUCGCACGAAUUCCAAUAACUAAAUCACAAACUACCUACUCUAGUAGGUGGUUUGUGAACUAAAUGAUCCACGGAGCAAGAAGUGCCACGUUUAGGGGUAUGUUUGUAAUGGGGUGCAGGGCGCGAAGCGCCCUGCCUCCACUAAAAACCCGAUAUUACACCUACCCAUGUUGUUGACUAUAAAAAGUUAGGUUAUGUUCGAAACGACUUUGCCAUUGAAGAGUGUGCAAGCAUUUCCACAACAUUUGAAGGUGAGGAACGUGAUCAGGGGGUCCUGUAGAAGAGUUCUGUGCAAACAGUUUGUACGAAAUCGAAAAGUGCUCUUUGUAAAAUUUUACCUUUAAUUGAUCUGAUAAAAAUGGAUACAAAAAAGUACGGAGUCAGCUUAUCGGCUUUAAAAAGUUUACAAGAUUUCCAGCAAUCGAUCAUGAGUAAGCGAAGAAAAAGAAAAGUAAUCGCAAUGCCUUUCACAGUUGAAUGCCGCAUUACCUUCAACGAUGGAAAGCCGUGUCGCUGCACGAUAGUUGCAGACUCAGGGCUGAUCUCUUGUGAAAUGUUUGGUGUUCUUUACUUGAAGAAUGUGGUCGGAAGCAGCACUGAAACUGACACUACUGUGCUAUUUAGUGGUAAAGACCCAUUAAAAGUAUUUAACAAAUUGUUUAUAGAAUUUGAUAAGAAGGAUGACAAAGAUACAUUUAUCACCAGCAUUGAAAAUGUUCUAAGGUCGGAUUCAGAUGAUCACAGCUCAAGCAGUGGGGAUAGUAUGAUACAGUAGUAGAUUAUUUGUUAUAUCUACAUACAUCGAUUUAUCUGAAUAAAUAAUUUUUGCAUUCAUA
RNA transcript from Zophobas morio, 3489 nucleotides. RefSeq lists it as uncharacterized. The record is from RefSeq and is a predicted model, not a curated record. The transcript is spliced from 3 exons. Lineage: Eukaryota; Metazoa; Arthropoda; Insecta; Coleoptera; Tenebrionidae.